This 806-nucleotide ribosomal RNA is filed under the name Rhodococcus erythropolis. RNAcentral describes it as "bacterial SSU rRNA". It matches the Rfam family "Bacterial small subunit ribosomal RNA", at positions 54 to 877 of the family's 1533-position model. Lineage: Bacteria; Bacillati; Actinomycetota; Actinomycetes; Mycobacteriales; Nocardiaceae. The record is from RNAcentral.
CAUGCAGUCGAGCGGUAAGGCCUUUCGGGGUACACGAGCGGCGAACGGGUGAGUAACACGUGGGUGAUCUGCCCUGCACUUCGGGAUAAGCCUGGGAAACUGGGUCUAAUACCGGAUAUGACCUCCUAUCGCAUGGUGGGUGGUGGAAAGAUUUAUCGGUGCAGGAUGGGCCCGCGGCCUAUCAGCUUGUUGGUGGGGUAAUGGCCUACCAAGGCGACGACGGGUAGCCGACCUGAGAGGGUGACCGGCCACACUGGGACUGAGACACGGCCCAGACUCCUACGGGAGGCAGCAGUGGGGAAUAUUGCACAAUGGGCGAAAGCCUGAUGCAGCGACGCCGCGUGAGGGAUGACGGCCUUCGGGUUGUAAACCUCUUUCAGCAGGGACGAAGCGCAAGUGACGGUACCUGCAGAAGAAGCACCGGCUAACUACGUGCCAGCAGCCGCGGUAAUACGUAGGGUGCAAGCGUUGUCCGGAAUUACUGGGCGUAAAGAGUUCGUAGGCGGUUUGUCGCGUCGUUUGUGAAAACCAGCAGCUCAACUGCUGGCUUGCAGGCGAUACGGGCAGACUUGAGUACUGCAGGGGAGACUGGAAUUCCUGGUGUAGCGGUGAAAUGCGCAGAUAUCAGGAGGAACACCGGUGGCGAAGGCGGGUCUCUGGGCAGUAACUGACGCUGAGGAACGAAAGCGUGGGUAGCGAACAGGAUUAGAUACCCUGGUAGUCCACGCCGUAAACGGUGGGCGCUAGGUGUGGGUUCCUUCCACGGAAUCCGUGCCGUAGCUAACGCAUUAAGCGCCCCGCCUGGG